Molecule: ribosomal RNA, 255 nt
Filed under: uncultured prokaryote
Description: partial 16S ribosomal RNA
Rfam family: Bacterial small subunit ribosomal RNA
Source: RNAcentral
ACGGGGGGAGCAAGCGUUGUUCGGAUUUACUGGGCGUAAAGGGCGCGUAGGCGGCCUCCGCAAGUCAGUUGUGAAAUCUCCGAGCUUAACUCGGAAAGGUCAACUGAUACUGCGGGGGCUAGAGUGCGGAAGGGGCAACUGGAAUUCUUGGUGUAGCGGUGAAAUGCGUAGAUAUCGGGAGGAACACCUGUGGCGAAGGCGGCCCCCUGGUCGGAUACUGACGCUGAGACGCGAAAGCGUGGGGAGCAAACAGGA